RNAcentral lists this ribosomal RNA (441 nucleotides) under uncultured bacterium. Its description in RNAcentral is "partial 16S ribosomal RNA". It matches the Rfam family "Bacterial small subunit ribosomal RNA", at positions 338 to 795 of the family's 1533-position model. The record is from RNAcentral.
CCUACGGGGGGCUGCAGUGAGGAAUAUUGCACAAUGGGCGAAAGCCUGAUGCAGCGACGCCGCGUGCGGGAAGAAGGCCUUCGGGUUGUAAACCGCUUUUCUGGGGGACGAGCAAGGACGGUACCUCAGGAAUAAGUCCCGGCUAACUACGUGCCAGCAGCCGCGGUAAUACGUAGGGGGCAAGCGUUAUCCGGAAUCACUGGGCGUAAAGGGCGUCUAGGCGGCAAGGCAAGUCUCGCGUAAAAGCUCCCGGCUCAACUGGGAGAGCGCGCGGGAAACUGCCUGGCUAGAGACUCGGAGAGGGGUGUGGAAUUCCCGGUGGAGUGGUGAAAUGCGUUGAGAUCGGGAGGAACACCAGUAGCGAAGGCGGCACCCUGGCCGAGUUCUGACGCUGAAGCGCGACAGCGUGGGGAGCAAACGGGAUUAGAUACCCGAGUAGUC